Molecule: small nuclear RNA, 112 nt
Organism: Diabrotica virgifera virgifera (western corn rootworm)
Lineage: Eukaryota; Metazoa; Arthropoda; Insecta; Coleoptera; Chrysomelidae
Source: RefSeq, a predicted model, not a curated record
GAUUAAUAUACAAUCUUAUCUCAUACAAAAAUUUGAAUGAUACGUAGAUUGUAGAUUAGCAGGGCUCCUGCGCAAAAAUGAGAUGCUAAAUCGUAAAGCCUUCCAUUUUUUU